GGGUGACGUAACUGUUGUGAUGCCUGCCACUCUAGCUCAGUACUCGAAAAUCAUACAGAACCCCUCUACUCUGGAGCUGCAAAAGGCAGCAAAUCAAGGAAGACGGUGCACUUGGGAAAAACUCUCAGCCAUUAAAGCUAACUGUGGAAUUGAGCUUGCACUUGAUGAAUGUGUUGCUAUUCUGAAUCACAUGCGUAGACUGAAAAGGAGUGCCGAGAGAGCGGCUGCUGCUUCUCACGGCUUGUCAAGCACUGUCAGAUUUAAUGCUUCCAGAAGAAUUCCUUCUUGGAACUGCAUUGCACGAGAG
Molecule: unclassified non-coding RNA, 307 nt
Filed under: Hevea brasiliensis (rubber tree)
Lineage: Eukaryota; Viridiplantae; Streptophyta; Magnoliopsida; Malpighiales; Euphorbiaceae
Source: RNAcentral